UUGAGGCUCCUCACCUAGUCGACGUGCUUAUGGGUCCUUGUUUUCCGCACGAGUCCCUCGCUCUCUUUCUCUUGCCUCCGCAGUCCUGAACACUCGGCGGGAGCAUCGACGACCAUCUAUCUCCGGGAGAACUUGAACGGAAAUAUUCAAGCCGCGACCUUGGAAUUCUGGAAUAAACUUCGGGGCAGCCUUUACUAGUUCGUUAGAGUAUAUGGCGGUUUCAGUAUCCAGAAAGCUUUUACGUUCCUUUCAUGGGUCCCUAUCUGCACUUGGCCGCUGUGAUUCGUCAACUAUCACAUGUCGAUCAUUUCGUUCGUACUUAUCAUGAUUUGUACGGCCAUCUUCAUGGGCAGAACAUAUUUUCUUCAGGAUCCUCUUCUCUUUCAAAGGUUCAUGUUUAUUACAUUUUAUUUGCUCACCCUGUUGUUUUUACAAGCUACUACCGAUAGAAUGUACACGGUAACCGUAUAUUCAACACGCCAAUUUGUUGGGCUUCGCUUCCUUACCGUACUUUUGGCGUUUUAGUUACAAGCCUAUAUGUAUUACUGUUGGGUGGAUCACCUAUCCUUGCGAAUAGAUGGCUUUCAACUUCCAUUCUGACUUCUGAAUUGGGUGAAGGAGCAUUUCCCUCUAAUUUAUUGUCUACUAAGCCUGUGGCAACGGCAGAGCGUACUAUAGGGAACACAUUCAACAAAACCCAUUAGCGAGGUUAGUGGCACUGGGAGAAAGCCUUGGCGGCAGAAGGGUACUGGUCGAGCAAGGCAUGGAACAUUGCAUGGACCCCAUUUAGGGGUGGUGCUACUAUGCAUGGCCCUAAGUCACGAAGUCAUGCUUUUAAGCUGAGUAGGAAGGUUUGUCGACUUGGGCUGAAGAUUGCUUUGACAGCUCGUGCAGCAGAAGGAAAGGCAUGUCUCUUGUCCCUUCCCAAUAUUUUCUUUUUCUGGCUUACACUGAUUAGAGUUGUGGUUUGAAAUUUAAUUAUGAAAACAUCAACAUAUGGUAAUUUCUUUUCGACCUUGGAGAAAGUAUGAGCUGUCCUCAGCUUGUAUUCUGUCUCUGUUCUUAACUAGUUUAGUUAAUAGGUUCUAUGCUUGUGUGCUGUAGUAUUUGCGAUUACUUGGGUGAUAUUAGGAAGAUUAAUGUUGGUCACUCGCCAGUUCAGAACUUUACCACCUGGUGGCUUCUGAAAAGUUGAGUAAACAUUCAUACAAGUGUAGCACAUAUGUUCUUUUAUGGUCAAUUUUCAGGAAUUCUUCUGAUUUUUUCUCAUCUUAAAAGUACCACCAAGAAGCCUUUUAUUGACUUUGAUUGGUUUAGUUGGAUAAAUCUUGUUUCACCAAUUUAACGUAUAUGAUUAUUCUUGAAUAUCAAUGAUAAUUUCUUUAUGAUAAUUUCCAACACAUAAAGACCAAGAAUUUGGUGAAUUAUGUCAAGCAAAUGGAGAACACCAAGAAACUUCUGCUGGUGGAUGGCGGCCCCAUAGGUGAAAAGAUGAAGUUGGCUACACAAAAUCUACAUUAUGCAAAUGUACUGCAUCAAUUGGUUUGAAUGUCUACAGCAUCCUGCUUCACGACACACUUGUCCCGUGAGGCAGUAAGCAAAAUUGUUGAGAGGAUGCACACUCCAAUUAACCGUUAAAUCACUCCACUUGACAAGCUACAUUCCAGUUUCAGAUGAGAAAAGGAAUUAUUUUCUCUUUCAUAGAAAAAAUGUAAUUCAGAACAUAUUUGUGCGUUGCCUAUGUCAAAAUGUGGAAAUCCACCGGUGGAUAGGUUGAUUUUUUUUGUGCAUUGGCCUUGUAUCUUCAGCUGAGAAUUUUGCAGUUGAAUAUUGGCUGCUAUCCUAAAUCACGAUGAAAGGAAGGGAAUUCACUUU
RNA transcript from Juglans regia (Persian walnut), 1875 nucleotides. It is a transcript of the gene named 50S ribosomal protein L4-like, with no coding region annotated. NCBI's taxonomy places the organism in Eukaryota, Viridiplantae, Streptophyta, Magnoliopsida, Fagales, Juglandaceae. The record is from RefSeq and is a predicted model, not a curated record. The transcript is spliced from 6 exons.